Molecule: ribosomal RNA, 504 nt
Filed under: uncultured bacterium
Lineage: Bacteria
Description: partial 16S ribosomal RNA
Rfam family: Bacterial small subunit ribosomal RNA
Source: RNAcentral
GACGAACGCUGGCGGCGUGCUUAACACAUGCAAGUCGAACGAUGAAAGCGGAGCUUGCUCCGCUGGAUUAGUGGCGAACGGGUGAGUAACACGUGGGCAACCUGCCCCAGACUCUGGGAUAACUCCUCGAAAGAGGUGCUAAUACCGGAUACGAACUCCUUGGGCAUCCUUGGAGCUGGAAAGUUUUUCGGUCUGGGAUGGGCCCGCGGCCUACCAGCUUGUUGGUGGGGUAGUGGCCCACCAAGGCGACGACGGGUAGCCGGCCUGAGAGGGCGAACGGCCACACUGGGACUGAGACACGGCCCAGACUCCUACGGGAGGCAGCAGUGGGGAAUCUUCCGCAAUGGACGAAAGUCUGACGGAGCAACGCCGCGUGAGUGAUGAAGGCUUUCGGGUCGUAAAACUCUGUUGUUAGGGAAGAACAAGUGCUAGUUGAAUAAGCUGGCACCUUGACGGUACCUAACCAGAAAGCCACGGCUAACUACGUGCCAGCCGCCGCUGUAA